UACGAAGGGGGCUAGCGUUGCUCGGAAUCACUGGGCGUAAAGGGUGCGUAGGCGGGUUCUUAAGUCAGAGGUGAAAUCCUGGAGCUCAACUCCAGAACUGCCUUUGAUACUGCGGGUCUCGAGUCCGGGAGAGGUGAGUGGAAUUCCUAGUGUAGAGGUGGAAUUCGUAGAUAUUAGGAAGAACACCAGUGGCGAAGGCGGCUCACUGGCCCGGUACUGACGCUGAGACGCGAAAGCGUGGGGAGCGAACAGG
This 253-nucleotide ribosomal RNA is filed under the name uncultured bacterium. RNAcentral describes it as "partial 16S ribosomal RNA". It matches the Rfam family "Bacterial small subunit ribosomal RNA", at positions 524 to 776 of the family's 1533-position model. The record is from RNAcentral.